This 373-nucleotide ribosomal RNA is filed under the name uncultured bacterium. RNAcentral describes it as "bacterial SSU rRNA". It matches the Rfam family "Bacterial small subunit ribosomal RNA", at positions 30 to 398 of the family's 1533-position model. The record is from RNAcentral.
AUUGAACGCUGGCGGCAUGCCUUACACAUGCAAGUCGAACGGUAACGGGCCUUCGGGUGCCGACGAGUGGCGAACGGGUGAGUAAUAGCAUCGGAACGUACCUUUCAGUGGGGGAUAACGUAGCGAAAGUUACGCUAAUACCGCAUAUUCUGUGAGCAGGAAAGCAGGGGAUCGCAAAGACCUUAGCGCUGAUUGAGCGGCCGAUGUCAGAUUAGCUAGUUGGUGAGGUAAAGGCUCGACCAAGGCGACGAUCUGUAGCGGGUCUGAGAGGAUGAUCCGCCACACUGGAACUGAGACACGGUCCAGACUCCUACGGAGGCAGCAGUGAGGAAUUUUGGACAAUAGGGCGAAAAGGCCCUGAUCCAGCCAUGCC